Molecule: long non-coding RNA, 548 nt
Filed under: Equus caballus (horse)
Lineage: Eukaryota; Metazoa; Chordata; Mammalia; Perissodactyla; Equidae
Description: lncRNA (ENSECAG00000046771.1)
Source: RNAcentral
UUUAUACGUGGGACGCCUACCACAGCAUGGCUGCCAAGCAGUGCCAUGUCCGCACCCGGGAUCCGAACCAGCAAACCCCGGGCCGCCAAGAAGCGGAACGUGCGAACUUAACCGCUGCGCCACCGGGCCGGCCCCUAUUUAUCCUUCAUUUUUGAAGGGUAAUUUCACAGGGGAGGAAGACAUUUCCUCUACCCGCUGUGGGUUCUUCUGGCUGGAGAACAAAUUAAAUUCACAUGACACAGAAUAACAGGAGAAAAUUAAACAAAGCUUUACAACAUGUGUACAUGGGAGAGGCUCAGGCAAGCUGAGCAACUUGCCAAAAUGGCUGAAGCCACCACCUUAAAUAUCAUCUUCAGAUCUCACAUGACAGAAAAGCUCCACAGCAAUGACCUGCUUGUACUCUCAAGAAGUUCUUGCAGCCCGUCAGACUGCCAGCUUUGUUCAAGUCUGUGCACUCAUCUCAUCACGGAACACCCUCAGGCUGGGAGAUCAGUACCCAGUUAGAGAAAGAACACAGAUCAGAUAUGCUAACAUCCCAUGGUUGAGGC